RNAcentral lists this ribosomal RNA (501 nucleotides) under uncultured bacterium. Its description in RNAcentral is "partial 16S ribosomal RNA". It matches the Rfam family "Bacterial small subunit ribosomal RNA", at positions 30 to 523 of the family's 1533-position model. The record is from RNAcentral.
AUUGAACGUUGGCGGCAUGCUUUACACAUGCAAGUCGAACGGCAGCGCGGGGGCAACCCUGGCGGCGAGUGGCGAACGGGUGAGUAAUGCAUCGGAACGUAUCCUGUAAUGGGGGAUAACUAAUCGAAAGAUUAGCUAAUACCGCAUACGCUCGGGAGAGGAAAGUGGGGGAUCGCAAGGCCUCACGUUAUAGGAGCGGCCGAUGUCUGAUUAGCUAGUUGGUGAGGUAAAGGCUCACCAAGGCGACGAUCAGUAGCUGGUCUUAGAGGAUGAUCAGGCACACUGGGACUGAGACACGGCCCAGACUCCUACGGGAGGCAGCAGUGGGGAAUUUUGGACAAUGGGGGCAACCCUGAUCCAGCCAUGCCGCGUGCGGGAAGAAGGCCUUCGGGUUGUAAACCGCUUUAGUCUAGGAAAAAGGAAUGCAGGAUUAAUACCCUUGUGUUUUGAUGGUACUGGAAGAAUAAGCACCGGCUAACUACGUGCCAGCAGCCGCCGUAA